CAGCCGUCACCAGGUGUGUGUUAAGGGAGGACCGGACACGCGUGUGCCAGGGAGGAGGAUGCCACCACGCUCUUCGAAGAUGUGCGGAGUUGUCGUGCCUGAACGGUCACCGUAGCUGCCUUCGAGGAGGAUUUGUGCCUGCAUCUUAAUGUUCGCCAAGCCCAUUACAUCGCUGGUGCGGGACACACAACAAAACAAAUCUGAACCUCAGCGACAUAUUUGCUGGGAGAGAAGGAGGAUAAAAAGUGCAGGUCCUCUUCACAGGAUAGACCUUUUAUGUGUCAUGUCGACAAGGGUGUCUUUGAUAAGAUAUCCAAGCGGGCUGCGUGUGAGGUGAAUCAAG
Molecule: long non-coding RNA, 343 nt
Organism: Triticum aestivum (bread wheat)
Lineage: Eukaryota; Viridiplantae; Streptophyta; Magnoliopsida; Poales; Poaceae
Exons: 3
Source: RefSeq, a predicted model, not a curated record